UACGUAGGGGGCAAGCGUUGUCCGGAAUUAUUGGGCGUAAAGGGUGCGUAGGCGGCCUUUUAAGUCAGAUGUGAAAGCCCGCGGCUUAACUGCGGGAUUGCAUUUGAAACUGGGAGGCUUGAGUAUCGGAGAGGGUAGUGGAAUUCCCAGUGUAGCGGUGAAAUGCGUAGAUAUUGGGAGGAACACCAGUGGCGAAGGCGACUGCCUGGACGAAAACUGACGCUGAGGCACGAAAGCUAGGGGAGCAAACAGGAUUAGAUACCCUGGUAGUCCUAGCCGUAAACGAUGGGUACUAGGUGUAGGAGGUUUCGAUACCUUCUGUGCCGCAGUUAACGCAUUAAGUACCCCGCCUGGGGAGUACGUGCGCAAGCAUGAAACUCAAAGGAAUUGACGGGGGCCCGCACAAGCGGUGGAGCAUGUGGUUUAAUUCGAAGCAACGCGAAGAACCUUACCAGGUCUUGACAUCCCUUGACAGCCACAGAGAUGUGGUCUCUCUUCGGAGCAAGGAGACAGGUGGUGCAUGGUU
This 526-nucleotide ribosomal RNA is filed under the name uncultured bacterium. RNAcentral's name for it is "bacterial SSU rRNA". It matches the Rfam family "Bacterial small subunit ribosomal RNA", at positions 524 to 1050 of the family's 1533-position model. The record is from RNAcentral.